Molecule: ribosomal RNA, 694 nt
Filed under: uncultured bacterium
Lineage: Bacteria
Description: bacterial SSU rRNA
Rfam family: Bacterial small subunit ribosomal RNA
Source: RNAcentral
AGAGUUUGAUCAUGGCUCAGAAUGAACGCUGGCGGCAUGCCUAACACAUGCAAGUCGAACGAAGGCUUCGGCCUUAGUGGCGCACGGGUGCGUAACGCGUGGGAAUCUGCCCUCAGGUUCGGAAUAACAGCGAGAAAUUGCUGCUAAUACCGGAUGAUAUCGCGAGAUCAAAGAUUUAUCGCCUGAGGAUGAGCCCGCGUAGGAUUAGCUAGUUGGUGUGGUAAAGGCGCACCAAGGCGACGAUCCUUAGCUGGUCUGAGAGGAUGAUCAGCCACACUGGGACUGAGACACGGCCCAGACUCCUACGGGAGGCAGCAGUGGGGAAUAUUGGACAAUGGGCGAAAGCCUGAUCCAGCAAUGCCGCGUGAGUGAUGAAGGCCUUAGGGUUGUAAAGCUCUUUUACCCGGGAUGAUAAUGACAGUACCGGGAGAAUAAGCUCCGGCUAACUCCGUGCCAGCAGCCGCGGUAAUACGGAGGGAGCUAGCGUUAUUCGGAAUUACUGGGCGUAAAGCGCACGUAGGCGGCUUUGUAAGUUAGAGGUGAAAGCCUGGAGCUCAACUCCAGAAUUGCCUUUAAGACUGCAUCGCUUGAAUCCAGGAGAGGUGAGUGGAAUUCCGAGUGUAGAGGUGAAAUUCGUAGAUAUUCGGAAGAACACCAGUGGCGAAGGCGGCUCACUGGACUGGUAUUGACGCUG